Molecule: transfer RNA, 85 nt
Filed under: Salmonella enterica subsp. enterica
Lineage: Bacteria; Pseudomonadati; Pseudomonadota; Gammaproteobacteria; Enterobacterales; Enterobacteriaceae
Description: tRNA-Tyr(gta)
Rfam family: tRNA
About the family: Transfer RNA (tRNA) molecules are approximately 80 nucleotides in length. Their secondary structure includes four short double-helical elements and three loops (D, anti-codon, and T loops). Further hydrogen bonds mediate the characteristic L-shaped molecular structure. tRNAs have two regions of fundamental functional importance: the anti-codon, which is responsible for specific mRNA codon recognition, and the 3' end, to which the tRNAs corresponding amino acid is attached (by aminoacyl-tRNA synthetases). tRNAs cope with the degeneracy of the genetic code in two manners: having more than one tRNA (with a specific anti-codon) for a particular amino acid; and 'wobble' base-pairing, i.e. permitting non-standard base-pairing at the 3rd anti-codon position.
Source: RNAcentral
GGUGGGUUCCCGAGCGGCCAAAGGGAGCAGACUGUAAAUCUGCCGUCAUCGACUUUCGAAGGUUCGAAUCCUUCCCCCACCACCA